This 393-nucleotide unclassified non-coding RNA is filed under the name Hevea brasiliensis (rubber tree). The record is from RNAcentral. Lineage: Eukaryota; Viridiplantae; Streptophyta; Magnoliopsida; Malpighiales; Euphorbiaceae.
GUUGCCAUUGUUGCCAGAAGAGGUAAACUAUAUAGUAGCAUUUGUUAAUAGAAUUUUGUAAGGAAUUUUUUAUAUCUAUAUGAUUUGAAAGCAAAAUAAACAGGCUUAACAUAAUAUCAUUAUUUAUGUCUAUUGGUAUACAAAUUCUUUGAUUACUUUCCACAUUCAGUGAUCAGCAUAUGUCAAUGUUUCCUUGCACCAUAUACCCUUCAUUGCACCAAAAUUAUUUUUCUUUGUUGCUCCUGGUGCGCCAAAUUUAGUGAAUUUGUUUGGCUUCUUGCUGUUACUUUUUGAAUUCUUGAGCUGUGGAGAUAGCGAGUGUUGAUUGUAAGUUUACCACCCAUUUAAUUAGUAAGAGCUGUAUCUGAUAGGUUACUGGGGUUGAAGCUCUGA